This 709-nucleotide ribosomal RNA is filed under the name Alexandrium catenella. Its description in RNAcentral is "LSU rRNA". It matches the Rfam family "Eukaryotic large subunit ribosomal RNA", at positions 23 to 671 of the family's 3401-position model. The record is from RNAcentral. Lineage: Eukaryota; Dinophyceae; Gonyaulacales; Pyrocystaceae.
ACCCGCUGAAUUUAAGCAUAUAAGUAAGUGGUGGAAAUUAAACCAACUGGGAUCUCUUCAGUAAUUGCGCAUGAACCAGGAUAUGCUUAGCUUGACAAAUGGAGCUGCUGGCUCUGAAUUGUAUUGUGGGAAUGUAUUACCAACAGAGGUGCAGGUGUCAGCCAUUUGAAAGAAAGCAUCAAUGAGGGUGAGAGUCCUGUUUGUCAUGUGCAGCCUUCUGUGCACGGUGUAUAUUUGCUGAGUCACACUCCUUGGCAUUGGAAUGCAAAGUGGGUGGUAAGUUUCAUGCAAAGGUAAAUAUGCAAUUGAGACUGAUAGCGCACAAGUACCAUGAGGGACAUAUGAAAAGGACUUUGAAAAGAGAAUUAAAUGAGUUUGUAUUUGCUAAACACAAAGUAAACAGACUUGAUUUCCUCAGUGAGAUUGUAGUGCUUGCUUAACAAUGGGUUUUGGCUGCAAGUGCAAUAAUUCUUGCUUUGUGUGCCAGUUUUUAUGUGGACAUUUGAUUACCUUUGCACAUGAAUGGUAAUUUUCCUGCGGGGUGUGGAUUGCAUAUGCAUGUAAUGAUUUGCAUGUUUGUUAAAUGUGUCUGGUGUAUUUGUUUGUGUCCUUGUCCUUGAGGUUGCUUUCUCCCUUGGGCUUACAUGCCCUGGCACACACAUUGUGGCAAAAUGCUUCUGCUUGACCCGUCUUGAAACACGGUCCAAGG